CAGGCCUAACACAUGCAAGUCGAGCGGGCGUAGCAAUACGUCAGCGGCAGACGGGUGAGUAACGCGUGGGAACGUACCUUUUGGUUCGGAACAACCCAGGGAAACUUGGGCUAAUACCGGAUAAGCCCUUACGGGGAAAGAUUUAUCGCCGAAAGAUCGGCCCGCGUCUGAUUAGCUAGUUGGUGAGGUAACGGCUCACCAAGGCGACGAUCAGUAGCUGGUCUGAGAGGAUGAUCAGCCACAUUGGGACUGAGACACGGCCCAAACUCCUACGGGAGGCAGCAGUGGGGAAUAUUGGACAAUGGGCGCAAGCCUGAUCCAGCCAUGCCGCGUGAGUGAUGAAGGCCCUAGGGUUGUAAAGCUCUUUUGUGCGGGAAGAUAAUGACGGUACCGCAAGAAUAAGCCCCGGCUAACUUCGUGCCAGCAGCCGCGGUAAUAC
Molecule: ribosomal RNA, 439 nt
Filed under: uncultured Alphaproteobacteria bacterium
Lineage: Bacteria; Pseudomonadati; Pseudomonadota; Alphaproteobacteria
Description: bacterial SSU rRNA
Rfam family: Bacterial small subunit ribosomal RNA
Source: RNAcentral